RNAcentral lists this ribosomal RNA (406 nucleotides) under uncultured bacterium. RNAcentral describes it as "partial 16S ribosomal RNA". It matches the Rfam family "Bacterial small subunit ribosomal RNA", at positions 30 to 526 of the family's 1533-position model. The record is from RNAcentral.
AUUGAACGCUGGCGGCAGGCCUAACACAUGCAAGUCGAGCGAGCGGCGGACGGGUGAGUAAUGUCUGGGAAACUGCCUGAUGUAGGGGGGUAAAAACUGUAAACGGUAGCUAAUACCCCAUACCCUAAGCUGUGCACAGAUGGGAUUGGCUAUUAGGUGGGGUAACGGCUCACCGAGGCGACGAUCCCUAGCUGGUCUGAGAGGAUGACCAGACACACUGGAACUGAGACACGGUCCAGACUCCUACGGGAGGCAGCAGGGGGGAAUAUUGCACAAUGGGCGCAAGCCUGAUGCAGCCAUGCCGCGUGUGUGAAGAAGGCCUUCGGGUUGUAAAGCACUUUCAGCGGGGAGGCGUUACCCGCAGAAGAAGCACCGGCUAACUCCGUGCCAGCAGCCGCGGUAAUUC